Molecule: long non-coding RNA, 747 nt
Filed under: Ornithorhynchus anatinus (platypus)
Lineage: Eukaryota; Metazoa; Chordata; Mammalia; Monotremata; Ornithorhynchidae
Description: lncRNA (ENSOANG00000038842.1)
Source: RNAcentral
UUGCCUCCAACCUCUCUCCUUGCUAAUUUUGACAUUUUUCUCCAUCACCCCGGCUGCUUUCGCAUUGCCAAUUGGCUUCGCACGGGUUUCAGUUAGCUGCCCAGCCGUCAGCUGCUGCAGAGAGCGCAGAGAAGAAAGAACCCAUAUUUCAAGGACUAUCUGAUCCGAUUAUCUCCUAUCUACCCCAGGGUUCAGCACGGUGCUUGACACACGGGCUUUGCCCCCCAGGACUCUCUCCUAAACCCCCAUUUCCAUCCCUGCUUUUAUUUCUUUCAGCUGAUUUUAUGGCCAGUUCUUUCUCUGCUGUGGUUCCUGGGAGCAUCACAGCCUUGGAAGUUGGGCCAGGAAUCUCUUCGGAGUAUUUCGUCUUGGAUGAUCGGAAUCCAAAGGUGGAUGGGCGCGAUGGAGGGACGGCUGCCUUUCACUCAGUGACCUCGGUGGCCAACCAUCCUCGCCAGCUGGCCGCUGGAUCAACUUCCUCCCCUGCAGCUGAUGUGUCUGUGUUGUACAGGUCGUGCCAUUCAGCACACUGUUCUAAAUUCAGGAUUGGUUUCUGCAGGUCGAGGCCGACGAAGAGAUGGUAAGAAGUCCUAGAAAAGGAGGUUCUUCGAGGCACGGUGGACAACACCUGAUAACUUUGUUAAUGGUAUUUGUUAAAUGUUUACUUUGUCCCAGGCACUGGGGUAAACACUGGGGUAGAUACAAGCUAAUCCGAUUGAAGUAGCGUGGCUCAGUGGAAAGAGCACG